GAGGGCUGGAUCAGUGCAAACCACGUGAUCCGUGCAGGUUCGCUGAGCACAGUCGGAACUAGAGACUCCGAGAUACUUAGGUGUAGAGCUGGAUGAAUAUAACAGGCCAAGAAGUAUCAGAGGAGCAGGAAAGCUCACAUUUUGUGCCUGGCCCUUUCGCUGAGACUAAGGAUUGUGCAAUUGAUGUAAGAGCAGGACACGGUGAAGAAGGCAAAACGGCAGAAAGCAGAUACCAGCGAUCGUUGCCAAAGCCCUGUUGCCUGUGGAAAAUGUGAUGUUCAACUUUCAUGUGCUGCUGCAGUUCAUAUGAUGAAGGUACUCCCACAAUGCGGUCAUUAGAGAAGUUACAGAUCAUUCAUCUAGCGAUACUGAAGAGCUGAUGGUGUGUGUCCAAAUCAACAAACUGAUAUUACAAGUGGACUUUCAGGUGGGGAAACUCAAUAAUUGUAACACUAAACUCUGACAGAAUUACUCAAUUCAUCAACAUCUGGAUAUUCGUAUUGUUGUGGUUCAUGUGUGAAACGAAUUUUCAGAGGAGGUGGUGGAUGCAGAUUUCCACAAUUUUACUUCUGCACUGUUCUUAACCUUUUGAUCCCUCUGAAAGACUGAGUUACAAUGCCUGCCCUUGCUCCCUGGCUCUCCCACCUCUCUUUCAGCAGUUUUGUGCAAAUACUGACUGGAUCCCUUACCUGGAGGAUAUUUAUUUGAAUUUGUUCUAAUGAUGAUCCAGCAUAUUUCCCAAGUGUCGCUCCAUAAAUGUCCAGAGGAUUUCUCGAUUUCACAAUCUGUGGUUGUUCUUCUGG
Long non-coding RNA from Stegostoma tigrinum, 803 nucleotides. RefSeq lists it as uncharacterized. NCBI's taxonomy places the organism in Eukaryota, Metazoa, Chordata, Chondrichthyes, Orectolobiformes, Stegostomatidae. The transcript is spliced from 5 exons. The record is from RefSeq and is a predicted model, not a curated record.